RNAcentral lists this ribosomal RNA (434 nucleotides) under uncultured Oscillospiraceae bacterium. RNAcentral describes it as "bacterial SSU rRNA". It matches the Rfam family "Bacterial small subunit ribosomal RNA", at positions 341 to 792 of the family's 1533-position model. Lineage: Bacteria; Bacillati; Bacillota; Clostridia; Eubacteriales; Oscillospiraceae. RNAcentral also lists the same sequence under 1 other name. The record is from RNAcentral.
ACGGGAGGCAGCAGUGAGGAAUAUUAGGCAAUGGGGGAAACCCUGACCUAGCGACGCCGCGUGAAGGAUGAAGGUUUUCGGAUUGUAAACUUCUUUUAUGCAGGACGAUAGUGACGGUACUGCAUGAAUAAGCCACGGCUAACUACGUGCCAGCAGCCGCGGUAAUACGUAGGUGGCAAGCGUUGUCCGGAUUUACUGGGUGUAAAGGGCGAGUAGGCGGGCUUGCAAGUCAGAUGUGAAAUACCGGGGCUCAACCCCGGGGCUGCAUUUGAAACUGUAAGUCUUGAGUGAUGGAGAGGCAGGCGGAAUUCCCAGUGUAGCGGUAAAAUGCAUAGAGAUUGGGAAGAACACCAGUGGCGAAGGCGGCCUGCUGGACAUUAACUGACGCUGAGGAGCGAAAGUGUGGGGAGCAAACAGGAUUAGAUACCCUGGUA